Molecule: ribosomal RNA, 253 nt
Filed under: uncultured bacterium
Lineage: Bacteria
Description: partial 16S ribosomal RNA
Rfam family: Bacterial small subunit ribosomal RNA
Source: RNAcentral
UACGUAGGGUGCAAGCGUUAAUCGGAAUUACUGGGCGUAAAGCGUGCGCAGGCGGUUUUGUAAGUCAGAUGUGAAAUCCCCGGGCUUAACCUGGGAACUGCGUUUGAAACUGGAAGGCUUGAGUGUGGCAGAGGGGGGUGGAAUUCCACGUGUAGCAGUGAAAUGCGUAGAGAUGUGGAGGAACACCGAUGGCGAAGGUAGCCCCCUGGGCUAACACUGACGCUCAUGCACGAAAGCGUGGGGAGCAAACAGG